GGAGGAGUAUCGAAGUGGUUGUAACGGCCUUGACUCGAAAUCAAGUUGUCACGCAAGUGGCACGUGGGUUCGAAUCCCACCUCCUCCGCCA
Molecule: transfer RNA, 91 nt
Filed under: bioreactor metagenome
Description: tRNA-Ser
Rfam family: tRNA
About the family: Transfer RNA (tRNA) molecules are approximately 80 nucleotides in length.
Source: RNAcentral